GGAAUAUAAGAAUCCUUCUCUUAACUUUUAACUAAAAAAACUAAGAACCGGCUCUUAAAUAGCCGGUUCUUAACCUUUUUAGUUAAAAAUUAAGAGACGAAUUCUUAUUUUUC
Molecule: non-coding RNA, 113 nt
Organism: Brassica rapa (field mustard)
Lineage: Eukaryota; Viridiplantae; Streptophyta; Magnoliopsida; Brassicales; Brassicaceae
Source: Rfam